UUAUCAAAAACAUGUCUUUUUGAGUUAUUUUUAAAGUCUGACCUGCCCACUGAAGUUAUUUAAAUGGCCGCAGUAUUCUAACUGUGCAAAGGUAGCAUAAUCAUUAGUCUUUUAAUUAAACGCUGGUAUGAACGGUUGGACGAGGUAUAAGCUGUUACAUAUAAAUUUAUAGUAGAAUUUUAUAUUUUAGUCAAAAAGCUAAAAUUUAAUUAAAAGACGAGAAGACCCUAUAAAUCUUUAUACUUUAUGUUGUUUAGAUUUUUUGGAUUAAUUUUAUUUUUAUAAUUUAAAGUAUUUUGUUGGGGUGAUAUUAAAAUUUAAUGAACUUUUAAUUAUUUAAAAUCAUUAAUUUAUGAGUUAUUGAUCCAUUAGUAGUGAUUAUAAGAUUACACUACUUUAUGGAUAACAUCGUAAUCUUUUUGGAGAGUUCAUAUCGAUAAAAAAGUUUGCGACCUCGAUGUUGGAUUAAGAUAUAUUUUUAGGUGUAGCCGCUUAAAUGUGAAGUCUGUUCGACUUUUAAAUUCUUACGUGAUCUGAGUUC
This 541-nucleotide ribosomal RNA is filed under the name Bactrocera cacuminata. RNAcentral's name for it is "partial 16S ribosomal RNA". The stretch from base 402 to 541 matches the Rfam family "Bacterial large subunit ribosomal RNA", at positions 2473 to 2612 of the family's 2925-position model. Lineage: Eukaryota; Metazoa; Arthropoda; Insecta; Diptera; Tephritidae. The record is from RNAcentral.